UACGUAGGGGGCUAGCGUUGUCCGGAAUCAUUGGGCGUAAAGAGCGUGUAGGCGGCCCGGUAAGUCCGCUGUAAAAGUCAAAGGCUCAACCUUUGAAAGCCGAUGGAUACUGCUGGGCUCGAGUCCGGAAGAGGCGAGUGGAAUUCCUGGUGUAGCGGUGGAAUGCGCAGAUAUCAGGAGGAACACCAAUAGCGAAGGCAGCUCGCUGGGACGGUACUGACACUAAGGCGCGAAAGCGUGGGGAGCGAACAGG
This 253-nucleotide ribosomal RNA is filed under the name uncultured bacterium. RNAcentral describes it as "partial 16S ribosomal RNA". It matches the Rfam family "Bacterial small subunit ribosomal RNA", at positions 524 to 776 of the family's 1533-position model. The record is from RNAcentral.